This 255-nucleotide ribosomal RNA is filed under the name uncultured prokaryote. RNAcentral's name for it is "partial 16S ribosomal RNA". It matches the Rfam family "Bacterial small subunit ribosomal RNA", at positions 524 to 776 of the family's 1533-position model. The record is from RNAcentral.
UACAGAGGAUGCAAGCGUUAUCCGGAAUUAUUGGGCGUAAAGAGUCUGUAGGUGGUCGAAGUGAAGUCCCCUGUUAAAUCUCAGGGCUCAACCCUGUGCAGGCAGUGGAAACUCAUCGGCUUGAGUACGGUAGGGGCAGAGGGAAUUUCCGGUGGAGCGGUGAAAUGCGUAGAUAUCGGAAAGAACACCAAGGGCGAAGGCACUCUGCUGGGCCGAAACUGACACUGAGAGACGAGAGCUAGGGGAGCAAAUGGG